UACAGAGGGUGCGAGCGUUAAUCGGAAUUAUUGGGCGUAAAGGGUGCGUAGGUGGUUUGAUAAGUUAGGUGUGAAAGUCCUGGCUUAACCUGGGGAUUGCGCCUAAUACUGUUAAGCUAGAGUACUGUAGAGGAAGGUGGAAUUUCCGGUGUAGCGGUGAAAUGCGCAGAUAUCAGGAGGAACACCGGUGGCGAAGGCGGUUCUCUGGGCAUUACCUGACGCUGAGGAGCGAAAGCAUGGGGAGCGAACAGG
This 252-nucleotide ribosomal RNA is filed under the name uncultured bacterium. Its description in RNAcentral is "partial 16S ribosomal RNA". It matches the Rfam family "Bacterial small subunit ribosomal RNA", at positions 524 to 776 of the family's 1533-position model. The record is from RNAcentral.